UACGUAGGGUGCGAGCGUUAAUCGGAAUUACUGGGCGUAAAGUGUGCGCAGGCGGCCGAGCAAGUCGAGUGUGAAAGCCCCGAGCUUAACUUGGGAACUGCGCUCGAAACUACUUGGCUAGAGUGUGGCAGAGGGAGGUGGAAUUCCACGUGUAGCGGUGAAAUGCGUAGAGACCGGGAAGAACACCAGUGGCGAAGGCGGCUACCUGGACAGGUACUGACGCUGCAGCGCGAAAGCUAGGGGAGCAAACAGG
RNAcentral lists this ribosomal RNA (253 nucleotides) under uncultured bacterium. RNAcentral describes it as "partial 16S ribosomal RNA". It matches the Rfam family "Bacterial small subunit ribosomal RNA", at positions 524 to 776 of the family's 1533-position model. The record is from RNAcentral.